Molecule: non-coding RNA, 45 nt
Filed under: Schistosoma mattheei
Lineage: Eukaryota; Metazoa; Platyhelminthes; Trematoda; Strigeidida; Schistosomatidae
Source: RNAcentral
AUCCAAAUGACGAGUCUCAGAUAGGACGAAACGCGCGUUCUUGAU